This is a long non-coding RNA of Ruditapes philippinarum (Manila clam), 681 nucleotides long. RefSeq lists it as uncharacterized. The transcript is spliced from 2 exons. Lineage: Eukaryota; Metazoa; Mollusca; Bivalvia; Venerida; Veneridae. The record is from RefSeq and is a predicted model, not a curated record.
AUAUAUAUUUAUGAAUUAACCUAUCUGGGUUGACUUUUACUUGAUAUAUUGGAAAAAAAUAGUCAACAGCUCCCGGCAUUAAAUUAACAUUUACUUUUAUGUUUUGUUUCUUAGCGUAGGCUAGACCAGAAUACCCGUUCAGUGUAUUCAUGAAUUCUAUUUAUUGUGUUCGAAGUCCUCAUCCGAAGCCUGACGGAAACAGCCGAAAAGUUACGAUUGUGGUGCUGUUGGCAACAUUGAAGAGGUGAAACUAAACAGUUCGUAAGACAGGCAAGUCAAUGCAUUCGGACCUGGUUUACAGACAUCAAAAUAGCUUCUUAUUUGAGGACACACCCAAAGAUGACACGGGCCCUCCACACGUAUGUCCAUGGCUAAAGGGUGACGCAUGCCCUUGUUCAGGAUCCUAUCAACUGUGCCAACACUGUAGGAAGUACAGUUACGCUUGAUAAGAUUUUAUACAAGAUGCCCGCCAUUGUGACGAAUUUUGUUCAACAACGCCACCACUUUAUUGAAACAUCAUGACAGAAACUUUACGGAGAAAUAGACUGAGAUACGUUGAUAGUGUUUGGAGAAAUAGGCUGAGAUACAUUGAUAGUGUUUGUUUGCGUAGUGAUUUUUCAUAUAUAAUCAUUUUUCAUUUAUAAAUAUUCGUUUCUUGUAAAUAAAUUUGUAUAUAUUUUC